RNAcentral lists this ribosomal RNA (466 nucleotides) under uncultured bacterium. RNAcentral's name for it is "partial 16S ribosomal RNA". It matches the Rfam family "Bacterial small subunit ribosomal RNA", at positions 28 to 507 of the family's 1533-position model. The record is from RNAcentral.
GAUGAACGCUGGCGGCGUGCUUAACACAUGCAAGUCGAACGAUGAAGCCCAGCUUGCUGGGUGGAUUAGUGGCGAACGGGUGAGUAACACGUGAGUAACCUGCCCUUAACUCUGGGAUAAGCCUGGGAAACUGGGUCUAAUACCGGAUAGGAGCGUCCACCGCAUGGUGGGUGUUGGAAAGAUUUAUCGGUUUUGGAUGGACUCGCGGCCUAUCAGCUUGUUGGUGGGGUAAUGGCUCACCAAGGCGACGACGGGUAGCCGGCCUGAGAGGGUGACCGGCCACACUGGGACUGAGACACGGCCCAGACUCCUACGGGAGGCAGCAGUGGGGAAUAUUGCACAAUGGGCGCAAGCCUGAUGCAGCAACGCCGCGUGAGGGAUGACGGCCUUCGGGUUGUAAACCUCUUUCAGUAGGGAAGAAGCGAAAGUGACGGUACCUGCAGAAGAAGCACCGGCUAACUACGUG